GGCCCCAAAAUGCACGAGCGCUCCCGGGGUCUCUCCCUGGGAUCAGUUCUGCUCCAUUUGCGCCUUGCAGUUCAUUGUCCCAUUCCAGCUUUAGCCCCUGCAGUCCCACCCUGCUUGUUUUUCUCUCUCCAGCCCACGGGGUUUGUGCUCUGGGGCUGAGAUUUGGGUCAUUUGUCCUUGGUGCCCAGCUGGAGCAGGAAUUGUUUUGUCUCCCUGCUCUGUGCACACAGCUCACCAUCCCUGAAUGUGAAGCCCAGACCCACACACUAAAGCAGCACAGAAUGUGAAACACAGAAAAGCUCAAACCUGAGGCAUCACCUUCACCUGUUCUUUUCCCGCCUCUUGUAGCUGGAAAUGUACACAUGGAAGAAGAGAAGAAAAUCCCGAUCACACUGCAGAGAUGGACUUUACAGGGCUUGUUGGACUGGGUUGACCUUUGCAACAGCUUUAUUCUCUUCAGCACCCUCGAGUUUGGAGACAAAUCAAUAAAUUGAGCAGGAGCAGUGCACAGAGACCAGAUGGUCCUCACCCAGUGCUUGCAGGGGAAUGAAAAUGUGAAAUCACGAAAUCACCAGGCUGCUGCUGUGGGACAGCACUCAGAUCUGCCUGGGUGCAGGAGGAGCAGCAGGGAGGAAUUCUCAGCCCAGCCUUUGUGCCAGCGUGCAGCUGAAUCCAAACCUGACUCAGUACCGCGUAAAAUAAAUUCAGAACUUCUAUGACUUCACAAAAAAAGUGAAAUCUGGCACUUGGCAGAGGCAGAAGGAAACAUCUGGAUGCUUUUGAUCAAAGAUGUUUAAGGAAAAUGAGCCUGCAGAGCAUCAAGAAUGGCACAGUUUGAGAAAGAGAAAGGAAGAAUGAAACUCUCCUCAGCAGAAGUUGGGAUGUGAUUUCUGCAGUUUCCUGAGCACACAGAAGAGUGGAGAGGACCUUCUUUGCCCAUUUGCUAGAGAACAGUUGAUAUUACAUUUGACAAUCCUGUAAUCCAAUUUAUAUCCAGCUCGCUGCUGGCCACCUGUGAGCAAUUUCAUUCUGUGGCUUUUUGUUUUAAUCUUGAGAGCGCUCAUUUGUCUGUGCAAGAUGAUUCCCUUGGACUGCCUCAGGAUCUUGGGCCCACCACAACAGCUGGGUGCUUAAUUCAGACACUUGGAGUUACUGAAUCCUGAUUUUUUGGUGGGAGUUUCAGUCUGUGGGAUGAAUCCUGCACUCAGAAAAUUGCUUUUCAUGCUGUGCUGUUUGCUGCCAUUGUCCUGUGAAGGUGAAGUUGUGUCCCAGUGCAUGCAAAAUGAAAAGUAAAGGAACCUGACUGGCUGACUGCUCUUUUAGACAGUAAAAUGA
This is a long non-coding RNA of Melozone crissalis (California towhee), 1335 nucleotides long. RefSeq lists it as uncharacterized. The transcript has 4 exons. The record is from RefSeq and is a predicted model, not a curated record. NCBI's taxonomy places the organism in Eukaryota, Metazoa, Chordata, Aves, Passeriformes, Passerellidae.